RNAcentral lists this ribosomal RNA (225 nucleotides) under Staphylococcus sp. Its description in RNAcentral is "partial 16S ribosomal RNA". It matches the Rfam family "Bacterial small subunit ribosomal RNA", at positions 563 to 784 of the family's 1533-position model. The record is from RNAcentral. Lineage: Bacteria; Bacillati; Bacillota; Bacilli; Caryophanales; Staphylococcaceae.
CGUAAGCGCGCGUAGGCGGUUUUUUAAGUCUGAUGUGAAAGCCCACGGCUCAACCGUGGAGGGUCAUUGGAAACUGGAAAACUUGAGUGCAGAAGAGGAAAGUGGAAUUCCAUGUGUAGCGGUGAAAUGCGCAGAGAUAUGGAGGAACACCAGUGGCGAAGGCGACUUUCUGGUCUGUAACUGACGCUGAUGUGCGAAAGCGUGGGGAUCAAACAGGAUUAGAUA